This 509-nucleotide ribosomal RNA is filed under the name Glomus sp. Glo3. RNAcentral's name for it is "SSU rRNA". It matches the Rfam family "Eukaryotic small subunit ribosomal RNA", at positions 569 to 1078 of the family's 1831-position model. The record is from RNAcentral. Lineage: Eukaryota; Fungi; Glomeromycota; Glomeromycetes; Glomerales; Glomeraceae.
AGCAGCUGCGGUAAUUCCAGCUCCAAUAGCGUAUAUUAAAGUUGUUGCAGUUAAAAAGCUCGUAGUUGAAUUUCGGGGUCAGUAGGUCGGUCGUGCCACUGGUAUGAACUGGUUUUACUGAUUCCUCCCUCUUGAAGAACUGUAAUGCCAUUAAUUUGGUGUUGCAGGGAAUCAGGACUGUUACUUUGAAAAAAUUAGAGUGUUUAAAGCAGGCUUUAGCUUGAAUACAUUAGCAUGGAAUAAUGAAAUAGGACGUUUGAUCCUAUUUUGUUGGUUUCUAGGAUUGACGUAAUGAUUAAUAGGGAUAGUUGGGGGCAUUAGUAUUCAAUUGUCAGAGGUGAAAUUCUUGGAUUUAUUGAAGACUAACUACUGCGAAAGCAUUUGCCAAGGAUGUUUUCAUUAAUCAAGAACGAAAGUUAGGGGAUCGAAGACGAUCAGAUACCGUCGUAGUCUUAACCAUAAACUAUGCCCGACUAGGGAUCGGAUGAUGUUAAUUUUUUAAUGACUCA